RNAcentral lists this ribosomal RNA (388 nucleotides) under Ctenophora sp. (in: diatoms). RNAcentral's name for it is "Ctenophora sp. (in: Bacillariophyta) partial small subunit ribosomal RNA". It matches the Rfam family "Eukaryotic small subunit ribosomal RNA", at positions 582 to 975 of the family's 1831-position model. Lineage: Eukaryota; Bacillariophyta; Fragilariophyceae; Fragilariales; Fragilariaceae. The record is from RNAcentral.
AUUCCAGCUCCAAUAGCGUAUAUUAAAGUUGUUGCAGUUAAAAAGCUCGUAGUUGAACUUCGGAACCGGUCGAUUGGUCCGUCCUCUGGAUUGUGUACUGAUCGAUCUGUUCUUCUUCGCGAAGACCGCGUGUGCCCUUAACUGGGUGUGCACGGGAUUCACGACGUUUACUUUGAAAAAAUUAGAGUGUUCAAAGCAGGCAUUCGCUUGAAUAUCUCAGCAUGGAAUAAUAGAAUAGGACUUUGGUCUUAUUUUGUUGGUUUCCGAGACCGAAGUAAUGAUUAAUAGGGACAGUUGGGGGCAUUCGUAUUUCAUUGUCAGAGGUGAAAUUCUUGGAUUUAUGAAAGACGAACUACUGCGAAAGCAUUUACCAAGGAUGUUUUCAUCG